AUCCUGGCUCAGAUUGAACGCUGGCGGCAUGCCUUACACAUGCAAGUCGAACGGUAACAGGCCGCAAGGUGCUGACGAGUGGCGAACGGGUGAGUAAUACAUCGGAACGUACCUUAUCGUGGGGGAUAACGCAGCGAAAGCUGUGCUAAUACCGCAUACGCCCUGAGGGGAAAGCGGGGGAUCGAAAGACCUCGCGCGAUUAUAGCGGCCGAUGCCUGAUUAGCUUGUUGGUGGGGUAAAAGCCCACCAAGGCGACGAUCAGUAGCUGGUCUGAGAGGACGAUCAGACACACUGGGACUGAGACACGGCCCAGACUCCUACGGGAGGCAGCAGUGGGGAAUUUUGGACAAUGGGGGAAACCCUGAUCCAGCAAUGCCGCGUGAGUGAAGAAGGCCUUCGGGUUGUAAAGCUCUUUUGUCAGGGAAGAAACACCGGCUCUAACACAGUCCGGGAAUGACGGUACCUGAAGAAUAAGCACCGGCUAACUACGUG
This 492-nucleotide ribosomal RNA is filed under the name uncultured bacterium. RNAcentral describes it as "bacterial SSU rRNA". It matches the Rfam family "Bacterial small subunit ribosomal RNA", at positions 16 to 507 of the family's 1533-position model. The record is from RNAcentral.